UACAGAGAGUGCAAGCGUUAAUCGGAAUUACUGGGCGUAAAGCGCACGUAGGUGGAUAUUUAAGUCAAAUGUGAAAGCCCUGGGCUUAACCUGGGAAUUGCAUCUGAUACUGGAUAUCUUGAGUAUGGUAGAGGGGAGUGGAAUUUCCGGUGUAGCGGUGAAAUGCGUAGAUAUCGGAAAGAACACCAGUGGCGAAGGCGGCUCCCUGGAUCAAUACUGACACUGAGGUGCGAAAGCGUGGGGAGCAAACAGG
This 253-nucleotide unclassified non-coding RNA is filed under the name uncultured Gammaproteobacteria bacterium. RNAcentral's name for it is "contains 16S-23S intergenic spacer region". It matches the Rfam family "Bacterial small subunit ribosomal RNA", at positions 524 to 776 of the family's 1533-position model. Lineage: Bacteria; Pseudomonadati; Pseudomonadota; Gammaproteobacteria. The record is from RNAcentral.